Molecule: non-coding RNA, 78 nt
Organism: Potamilus streckersoni
Lineage: Eukaryota; Metazoa; Mollusca; Bivalvia; Unionida; Unionidae
Source: the annotation of a GenBank genome assembly
GACCGCUCCGGUGGCUUAGUUGUUAAGAGCGUCCGCCUCGGAUGCGGGAGGUCGUGGGUUCAAUCCCCGGUUGAGUCG